GGCCUUGGAGAAGGGUACAAUAUAAAUAUUGCCUGGACAGGUGGCCUUGAUCCUCCCAUGGGAGAUGUUGAGUACCUUGAAGCAUUCAGGACCAUCGUGAAGCCUGUGGCCAAAGAGUUUGAUCCAGACAUGGUCUUAGUAUCUGCUGGAUUUGAUGCAUUGGAAGGCCACACCCCUCCUCUAGGAGGGUACAAAGUGACGGCAAAAUAAACUCCUGUGCUGGAGGUACAACAGUUUGGAAGUAUACUUGGGGAAAGAGAAAACACAAGAUGGAAGGAAGAUCUCUCUUUUCACAUUGGGAGCAC
Molecule: small RNA, 305 nt
Filed under: Pan troglodytes (chimpanzee)
Lineage: Eukaryota; Metazoa; Chordata; Mammalia; Primates; Hominidae
Description: processed transcript
Source: RNAcentral